Molecule: transfer RNA, 69 nt
Filed under: Petrobiellus sp. 1 JZ-2014
Lineage: Eukaryota; Metazoa; Arthropoda; Insecta; Archaeognatha; Machilidae
Description: tRNA-Ile
Source: RNAcentral
AGUAAAGUGCCUGAUUUAAAGGAUUACAAUGAUAAAGUAAAUCAAAUAUAUUAAAAUAUAUCUUUACUG